RNAcentral lists this non-coding RNA (21 nucleotides) under Orthotrichum pumilum. Lineage: Eukaryota; Viridiplantae; Streptophyta; Bryopsida; Orthotrichales; Orthotrichaceae. The record is from RNAcentral.
ACGUACUCCAGAGUCAAGGCC